ACUUGCCACUUCUUCGCUUUCCAUCAUUUUGGGGUUAAAUCACCCAAGCCAUUGAUGGACGGAGAACUGAUAAGGGC
This 77-nucleotide microRNA precursor is filed under the name Ciona intestinalis (vase tunicate). Its description in RNAcentral is "Cin-Mir-184_pre stem-loop". Lineage: Eukaryota; Metazoa; Chordata; Ascidiacea; Phlebobranchia; Cionidae. The record is from RNAcentral.